RNAcentral lists this long non-coding RNA (1083 nucleotides) under Oryza sativa Indica Group (long-grained rice). RNAcentral describes it as "lncRNA OsMH63_10G014370". The record is from RNAcentral. Lineage: Eukaryota; Viridiplantae; Streptophyta; Magnoliopsida; Poales; Poaceae.
ACUGGCUACUAUGAUACAUACCAUUUAUCUAUUUAUCUAUCUAUAUAUAUUAUAUUAUAUUUAUUAUUUAUUUUACUCUACCCUAUAUUUCAACAAAUACUUUCACUCAUCACUUAUCACUCAUUCUUUCAUUCCUCACUCAUCACUCAACGGUCCAGAUUGCCUCUCUGAAAUCUCAACGAUUGAGAUUGCUCCCACCUCCCACCUCCCUCGAUUGCGCGCUCCUCUCCGCCCCCUCUCUAUCGCUCUCACGCGCUGCCGCCCCUCGCCAACCACGACCUACGCCCUCAUCUCUCCUCUCACGCGGCACCACCGUCGUCGCCGCCGCCUUCGACUGCCGCCGCUCCGCCGUCGUCGCAUCCGUCGUCUCGCCGCCACCGAUCCCCGCGCCACCGCCGUCGCCGCCGCCCUCGACUACCGCCACUCUGCCGUCGUCGCAUCCGUCGUCUCGCCGCCACCGAUUCACGUCGCCGCCGAUGCCUUCCUCGCCUGGUCGCUGCCGAGACCUUCCGUGCAGAUCUGCUCCUCGUCGCCACCGAUCCCCGCCGCCGGCUUGCCUCAACCGAUCCCCAUCGCCGCCGUCGCUCCACCGGCUCGCCCUCGCCAGCGUCUCCCCGUAGCCCCGAUCCACGCCGCCGCAGCCGCAUCACCGUCUGUUUCCGCCAUAGGGGCGUGAUUCCGCGCGACGGCUGGAGGAGGCGAUGUUGGGCCUGCCCUCCAUCGAUGGCAGAUUCCGCGUGACGGCUGGAGGAGGCGAGGUCGGGCCUGCCCUCCAACGACGCUCCACGUCGCCGCAGCCCGCAGCCCCGUCGGCGCCGUCGCUGUGUCGCUCCAUCACCGUCCCGACCUCGAAGGCGAACCGGCUUCGGUCCCUCGCGCCGCCACUGAUCCAGGGCUCCUCAACCCUGCAAGCCGUCAUCCUGCCUGCGAACAAGGACAAAAAUUCAGGUUGUCGAAGAAAAAUUCAGGCUGACAGGACACCAUGUCAACUGCUAUUGUUUGCUGCACAAUCAAGGAAAUUUUUGGCUGAUUCUACUAAAUUUCUGUUUGGUAUAGGUAAUUUCUUUCAUAAUGAUUACCCCU